GAUGAACGCUGGCGGCGUGCCUAAUACAUGCAAGUCGAGCGAACAGACGAGGAGCUUGCUCCUUUGACGUUAGCGGUGGACGGGUGAGUAACACGUGGAUAACCUACCUAUAAGACUGGGAUAACUUCGGGAAACCGGAGCUAAUACCGGAUAACAUGUUGAACCGCAUGGUUCAACAGUGAAAGACGGUCUUGCUGUCACUUAUAGAUGGAUCCGCGCCGCAUUAGCUAGUUGGUAAGGUAACGGCUUACCAAGGCAACGAUGCGUAGCCGACCUGAGAGGGUGAUCGGCCACACUGGAACUGAGACACGGUCCAGACUCCUACGGGAGGCAGCAGUAGGGAAUCUUCCGCAAUGGGCGAAAGCCUGACGGAGCAACGCCGCGUGAGUGAAGAAGGUCUUCGGAUCGUAAAACUCUGUUAUUAGGGAAGAACAAAUGUGUAAGUAACUAUGCACGUCUUGACGGUACCUAAUCAGAAAGCCACGGCUAACUACGUG
RNAcentral lists this ribosomal RNA (497 nucleotides) under uncultured bacterium. Its description in RNAcentral is "partial 16S ribosomal RNA". It matches the Rfam family "Bacterial small subunit ribosomal RNA", at positions 28 to 507 of the family's 1533-position model. The record is from RNAcentral.